RNAcentral lists this ribosomal RNA (253 nucleotides) under uncultured bacterium. RNAcentral's name for it is "partial 16S ribosomal RNA". It matches the Rfam family "Bacterial small subunit ribosomal RNA", at positions 524 to 776 of the family's 1533-position model. The record is from RNAcentral.
UACAGGGGGUGCAAACGUUGCUCGGAAUCAUUGGGCGUAAAGCGCACGUAGGCGGUUCGUUAUGUCGGAUGUGAAAGCCCUUGGCUUAACCGAGGAAGUGCAUCCGAAACUGGCGAGCUAGAGUACUAAAGAGGAUCGCGGAAUUCCCGGUGUAGAGGUGAAAUUCGUAGAUAUCGGGAGGAACACCGGUGGCGAAGGCGGCGACCUGGGUCGAGACUGACGCUGAGGCGCGAAAGCGUGGGGAGCAAACAGG